GACUUCUCGCUUUCACUUUCAGCUGUUGUCAGCUAUAUAAAGGAGCAGCGGUCCUGAUCGAGACACACUCCACCCGCGACGCUCCACCAAAGCCCUGCUGAGAUUUCGUGAGAACUUUUGACACCCAAAAAAUGUCUGACCGGCAAUUGAGCUACCAUGAACAUGAAGAUGAAGAAGAAUAUGAUGAAGAAUGUGACGUACCUCCUGAGGAACAGUCAAGGACAGGAAGACACAAGAUAACAUGGAAAAACAAAAAGGGUGGUACAAAAAAGCCUAGGGUGCAACUUGCCUCAGUUAAUGUUGAUGUGAUCGACACGAUUAAUAUGAUUGACACAUUUGACAGACCAGGAGGUGCCUUUGCAGAAAGCAACUAUGCUCGAAGUGGAACAUAUGCGUCAGCUUUUGAAAAUGAACCAGGAAAGAGGAUUCCCAAGAUCGGAGCUUAUGCAGAAGCAGGAGUUGGACGAGCUCGUGCUGAAUACAGAGUACUCGAGGCUGAAGCCAAAGGUCCCAACGCCUCAGCUGGAGCUGAAGCCAGUGUGAUUGGAGUCGGAGCAAUGGCUCGAGCUGAAAUUGCCAGCGCAUCGGCUAAAGCCGGUCCAGUUGGUGUGAAACUGGGACUUGGAGUUGAUACGGGUGCAUCUAUUGGUCUGGGAGGGGUGGAGGCCAAAGUACUGGGAACUGGAUUCUCAAUUGGUCCAAAAACCAGUGUAUCUCUUCUGGGUUCAGAAGUAAAAGUGUCAUGUGCAAUCAUGUAGUCAUACAGGUAUUAAUUACUUUUGAAUAUUAUAUGUGAAACCAUGAAGACAAAAACCUGAGUUUUUUUAUACUUUAACAAUAUAGUGACAUGUUUUAUUUUAUAAUUCUACAACUGCUGAGACUUGUUUUCAUUUGAAAAUAAUCAUAUCUGGUUAUGUGUUUUGCUUUUUCUCAUCAGUACUAUCAUUCCCAGUGGAUAAGAUUGUUGGGUGAAACCUGAAAAAACAUUUUUUACCCAUUUUUAAUACAGUAUCAGUAUUGUUGUUGAGUUAUAAAUAUGCAGUUAUACUUCAACAAUAUGGAAACAUAUGUUUUAUUUUAUAUGUUAUAAUCCUACAACUGUUGAGACUUUUGUUUUCAUUUAAGAAUAAAUGUUUGUGUUUGGUUCUGCAGGUGUGUGUAUUGCUUUUCUUUAUACUGUCAUUUCCUGUGAAUAUCAUAUUUUUUUACCGUCAUAUUUUUUUCCAUUUAUGCAAUAAACUGAAAACAAAAAAUAA
Ctenopharyngodon idella (grass carp) is the source of this 1256-nucleotide long non-coding RNA. RefSeq lists it as uncharacterized. The transcript has 2 exons. NCBI's taxonomy places the organism in Eukaryota, Metazoa, Chordata, Actinopteri, Cypriniformes, Xenocyprididae. The record is from RefSeq and is a predicted model, not a curated record.